GGGACUGGUCGAAAGACCCGGGUCCUACCACGGCGGGGAGUUACUCC
This 47-nucleotide non-coding RNA is filed under the name unclassified sequences. RNAcentral's name for it is "DUF3800-XI RNA". It matches the Rfam family "DUF3800-XI RNA". Rfam says of the family: Actinobacteria, Firmicutes, Proteobacteria, Spirochaetes (1 example). Nearby to DUF3800 The record is from Rfam by way of RNAcentral.